This is a non-coding RNA of Myodes glareolus (Bank vole), 1403 nucleotides long. Lineage: Eukaryota; Metazoa; Chordata; Mammalia; Rodentia; Cricetidae. The record is from RefSeq and is a predicted model, not a curated record.
CUGACGCUGCCUGGCGCUGGAACCAGGAAGGCGCUGAGCUUAAACUGAAGCAAGUUCUGAGGACGCCGGUGGCGCCGCGGUUAGAAGAGGGGGUUCCAGGUCCCCGCGCCCGGAGGUGCGAGCCCGAAGGUCGACCCAGAAAUGGGGCGCCGGUCAUCAGACACCGAGGAAGAAAGCAGAAGCAAGAGGAAAAAGAAACACCGCAGGCGCCCCUCUUCCAGCAGCUCUUCAGACAGCAGGACCUACAGCCGCAGGAAGGGCGGGAGGAGGCCCAGGUCCGAGUCCAGGUCCUGCUCUAGGGACCGGCAGCCUCGCUCACACUCUUAUGAGAGAAGACGCAGGCACAGGUCAAGCAGCGGCUCUUCGUAUGGCUCCCGAAGAAAACGAAGUGGAAGUCGCUCCCGGGGUCGAGGGAAAUCCUAUAGAGUUCAGAGGUCUCGCUCCAAAAGCAGAACAAGAAGGUCCAGGUCAAGACCUCGUCCACGUUCCCAUAGUCGAAGCAGUGAAAGAUCCAGCCACAGAAGAACUCGUAGUAGGUCUAGGGACCGAGAACGACGCAAAGCACGGGACAAAGAGAAGAGAGACAAGGAGAAGGAUAAAGGCAAGGACAAAGAAGUACAUGGCAUCAAACGGGGGGAAUCUGGAAACAUCAAAGCUGGAUUAGAACAUCUGCCUCCAGCUGAGCAGGCAAAAGCCAGACUACAAAUGGUCCUUGAAGCUGCUGCAAAAGCUGAUGAAGCGUUAAAGGCUAAAGAAAGGAAUGAGGAAGAAGCAAAGAGAAGAAAAGAGGAAGACCAAGUCACCCUGGUGGAACAAGUGAAAAGAGUGAAAGAAAUUGAAGCCAUCGAAAGUGAUUCUUUUGUUCAGCAGACAUUCAGAUCAAGUAAGGAAGUCAAAAAAGUAAUCGGUAGAACCAAGCGAAGUGAAACAUGCGCCUCCAGCAUCAGGACCAGCAUCAGGACCAGCAUCAGGAACUGCGGAGCCACCCAGCACUGGAAAGGAAAUAGACCCUGACAGCAUCCCCACGGCUAUCAAGUAUCAAGAUGACAAUUCUCUAGCUCAUCCAAAUUUGUUUAUUGAGAAAGCCGAAGCUGAAGAGAAGUGGUUCCGGAGAUUAAUUGCCCUCCGACAAGAAAGACUCAUGGGCAGUCCUGUGGCCUGAGAAGAGACUUCCGGUUACGUUGACAACGCCUUGAAAAUUGAGGGUUUUAAAUACUAAUGUUAACUUUUACUCCUAAAUAUAACUUAGCCAACUGCAUAGAAAGCAAAUCUCAUUUCUUCCUUCAUGUUCAACUGAGUAUUUGCUGUUUCAAAUCAAACAUUGUGAAUAGUAGAUCUGUUAUAAAAGGUGUGAGUGUGUGAACAUAUUAUCUUGUUAAUAAAACUAAUCAUAAAAAUGUCAA